Long non-coding RNA from Bicyclus anynana (squinting bush brown), 533 nucleotides. RefSeq lists it as uncharacterized. Lineage: Eukaryota; Metazoa; Arthropoda; Insecta; Lepidoptera; Nymphalidae. The transcript has 2 exons. The record is from RefSeq and is a predicted model, not a curated record.
UGAAAACGAACUAUGUAGUACAUUGACUUAAUACCUAUAGACGUUGCCUUAAAAUUAUGUUAGACGUGGGAGUGAGAAGCGUAUUUACGAAUUUUAUGAGGAAGUUGAGACAAAAAGUAUUAUCUUCUGUCUCUUAGGCCGUGGAGGUUUUCUUUGUUUGGCUAACUAUCAGUUAGCCAAACAAUUUGCUGUCAAGUUGUGCGCUGUGCGUAAUUUUCUUGUUUAUUAUUGUUUUUUAGGUUUUUAAGAUUGUUUUAAUGUACUUAUUAGAAAAGGACUCCAUUAAUAAGGUGUAGUAUUAUUUAUAAUGGGAGGAUGCAGUGUUUUCAGCUGUAAAAGCCGCAAGGAAACGGAGGCGGAGGAAGAGACUUUUUACUCGUUUCCCAAGGAUAUACAUUUUAAACAAACAUGGAUAAUGGCUACUGGUCAUCAGAAUUAGCAGCCUAAGAAUUUUUUUUUUAAAUUCAGUUUGAGAAGGACACAAUCAAUAUGUAAUUUGGAUUCUAAAAAACUAAUAAAACCUCUAAAAUAAA